GUCCAGGGAUGGGAAUCGAACCCACAGUGUUCCGCUUACUGGGCAGAUGCCAUGUCCAGUAGGCUAUGUCCACUGGA
Non-coding RNA from Cordylochernes scorpioides, 77 nucleotides. The record is from the annotation of a GenBank genome assembly. Lineage: Eukaryota; Metazoa; Arthropoda; Arachnida; Pseudoscorpiones; Chernetidae.